RNAcentral lists this ribosomal RNA (593 nucleotides) under uncultured bacterium. RNAcentral's name for it is "bacterial SSU rRNA". It matches the Rfam family "Bacterial small subunit ribosomal RNA", at positions 28 to 638 of the family's 1533-position model. The record is from RNAcentral.
GACGAACGCUGGCGGCGUGCUUAACACAUGCAAGUCGAGCGGUAAGGCCUUUCGGGGUACACGAGCGGCGAACGGGUGAGUAACACGUGGGUGACCUGCCUCGCACUCUGGGAUAAGCCUGGGAAACUGGGUCUAAUACCGGAUAUGAUCACGGAUCGCAUGGUUUGUGGUGGAAAGAUUUAUCGGUGUGAGAUGGGCCCGCGGCCUAUCAGCUUGUUGGUGGGGUAAUGGCCUACCAAGGCGACGACGGGUAGCCGGCCUGAGAGGGCGAUCGGCCACACUGGGACUGAGACACGGCCCAGACUCCUACGGGAGGCAGCAGUGGGGAAUAUUGCACAAUGGGCGAAAGCCUGAUGCAGCGACGCCGCGUGCGGGAUGACGGCCUUCGGGUUGUAAACCGCUUUCGACAGGGACGAAGGGAAACUGACUGUACCUGUAGAAGAAGCACCGGCUAACUACGUGCCAGCAGCCGCGGUAAUACGUAGGGUGCGAGCGUUGUCCGGAAUUACUGGGCGUAAAGAGCUUGUAGGCGGUUCGUCGCGUCGAUCGUGAAAACUUGCGGCUCAACUGUGAGCUUGCGGUCGAUACGGGCG